Molecule: ribosomal RNA, 465 nt
Filed under: uncultured bacterium
Lineage: Bacteria
Description: partial 16S ribosomal RNA
Rfam family: Bacterial small subunit ribosomal RNA
Source: RNAcentral
GACGAACGCUGGCGGCGUGCUUAACACAUGCCAGUCGAACGGAAAGGCCCUGCUUGCAGGGUACUCGAGUGGCGAACGGGUGAGUAACACGUGGGUGAUCUGCCCUGCACUUCGGGAUAAGCCUGGGAAACUGGGUCUAAUACCGGAUAGGAGCCAUUUUUAGUGUGAUGGUUGGAAAGUUUUUUCGGUGUAGGAUGAGCUCGCGGCCUAUCAGCUUGUUGGUGGGGUAAUGGCCUACCAAGGCGGCGACGGGUAGCCGGCCUGAGAGGGUGGACGGCCACAUUGGGACUGAGAUACGGCCCAGACUCCUACGGGAGGCAGCAGUGGGGAAGAGUGCACAAUGGGCGCAAGCCUGAUGCAGCGACGCCGCGUGGGGGAUGACGGCCUUCGGGUUGUAAACUCCGUUCGCUAGGGACGAAGCUUUUUGUGACGGUACCUAGAUAAGAAGCACCGGCUAACUACGUG